GGGCCGGCAGUAAUAUCCUCGGAAGUGACAACCCUGACGCAUCAACGCCGCGUGAGUGAGGAAGGUUUUCGGAUCGUAAAGCUCUGUCGAGUGGGAAGAAAUGUAUCAUGGCUAAUAUCCAUGAUACUUGACGGUACCGCUAAAGGAAGCACCGGCUAACUCCGUGCCAGCAGCCGCGGUAAUACGGGGGGUGCAAGCGUUGUUCGGAAUUAUUGGGCGUAAAGAGCGUGUAGGCGGCUGAAUAAGUCAGAUGUGAAAUCCCUGGGCUUAACCCAGGAAGUGCAUUUGAAACUAUUCAGCUUGAGUAGGGGAGAGGAAAGUGGAAUUCCUGGUGUAGAGGUGAAAUUCGUAGAUAUCAGGAGGAACACCGGUGGCGAAGGCGACUUUCUGGCCCUAUACUGACGCUGAGACGCGAGAGCGUGGGUAGCAAACAGGAUUAGAUACCCUGGUAGUCCACGCUGUAAACGAU
Molecule: ribosomal RNA, 469 nt
Filed under: uncultured prokaryote
Description: bacterial SSU rRNA
Rfam family: Bacterial small subunit ribosomal RNA
Source: RNAcentral